AUUGAACGCUGGCGGCAGGCCUAACACAUGCAAGUCGAACGGUAACAGGAAGAAGCUUGCUUCUUUGCUGACGAGUGGCGGACGGGUGAGUAAUGUCUGGGAAACUGCCUGAUGGAGGGGGAUAACUACUGGAAACGGUAGCUAAUACCGCAUAACGUCGCAAGACCAAAGAGGGGGACCUUCGGGCCUCUUGCCCUCGGAUGUGCCCAGAUGGGAUUAGCUAGUAGGUGGGGUAACGGCUCACCUAGGCGACGAUCCCUAGCUGGUCUGAGAGGAUGACCAGCCACACUGGAACUGAGACACAGUCCAGACUCCUACGGGAGGCAGCAGUGGGGAAUAUUGCACAAUGGGCGCAAGCCUGAUGCAGCCAUGCCGCGUGUAUGAAGAAGGCCUUCGGGUUGUAAAGUACUUUCAGCGGGGAGGAAGGGAGUAAAGUUAAUACCUUUACUCAUUGACGUUACCCGCAGAAGAAGCACCGGCUAACUCCGUG
This 490-nucleotide ribosomal RNA is filed under the name uncultured bacterium. RNAcentral describes it as "partial 16S ribosomal RNA". It matches the Rfam family "Bacterial small subunit ribosomal RNA", at positions 30 to 507 of the family's 1533-position model. The record is from RNAcentral.